UGUUGGUGGGAUUGUGGGGGAAGUAGAGGCUGACAUCUACAAUAAGUGGGUAGUGCUAUCGUGGAGGUUAGUUUGACAGUUACCUGUCGAUAUGGCAAGUGCUGACACUCUUUGACCCGGCCGUUCCUUCUCCAAGUAUCUAUUCUAGAGAAAAACCUAUCACAGACGCACUAGACAACAUGAAUAAGGACAUUUGUUGCAGUGUCAAUAAACUUUUAAAAAGGAAUAAACCAACUGUCUAUAGGGGAUUGGCCUGAGAACUCAGUCACAUUGUUCAGGUAAAAAAAAUCUCAAAACACAUCCUUGAAGAACCUUUCUCCAACCCCUGUCUUCCAUCUGCUAGUCCCCACCUCUCCCAUGGUAGGCAACAACUACCAUCAUCCAUUUCUAGACUGUCCUUCUAGAAAUUUCUUCUAUGCCUAUAGAAGCAACUGUGAAUACAUCUUUCCCCCUUUUUAGACAAAUAGUUGUGUACUAUCAUGCAUUUCUACACUUUGCUGUUUUAUCACGAGGUAUAUUGUACACAACGAAGAGUGAUGGGUACAUUUGUAUUUUUUAAAGAGCAACAUAAAGACGUCCCCAGUGCACCCGUUCUCUAGCUAAAGAAAUAGGUUGUGUCUAGUGCCUGGUGUUGCAUGGCUCCCCAAGAAGGCUGUUCCAGUUUAUGCUCCCACUUAGGAUUUGUGUGAGUUUGCAAAAAGGAUAAAGACUUGAGAUGGUUUUGCUUGUUCAAGGUCCCGAGUGAGUAGGCGCUUUCUGUUCAGCCCCAGGCCUCUGCUCAGUGGGGUGGAGACCACAGCCUGGAGGAGAGGGAUGGAGGCAGGUUUUGGGGGGCUGGGUGUGAGGGGCCCGCCAUGAGGCCCCUGUCUUGGAGGUCCCUGGAUGGAUAGCCCUGGAAGCUGGGAGCCAGCUAGAAGCUUGCUGGGGAAUCCCCUGUGUGGGAGGUGUGGGGGGCCCUUCAAACAACCACUUUUCAACCAAAUGAGCAAAUGCUUCCCCUCUCUCAUCCAGGGAUGGUAAUUUUUCUAGGGUGAAAAAUGAAUUCUCCCAGGAAGCUUUCCUGCCAGAGACCCUGGAGCCUUAAAUUUACUGCUUGCCUUCUGUGCUGACGGAACUGAGCCUCAAGAUUUAUAUCCAGGGGUUUGUGGGCAGCUGGCUCUGGGCCGGCGGGAGUCCUGAAGGGCAGGCAGGCUGAACCACAGAGCUCACUAAACAACUCUUGACUGAGUGCCAACAGUUUGUUGGGACCAGAGCAGUGACUAAGACCUCAGUGAACUCUGCCCUCCAGGAACUCACAGACAGAGCUAACGGUCUCCCAGGUUGGGUGCAGGAGCCAUGCCCAGGACAGUCUCCUGAGGAGGAGGUUGGGAACAAAUAUGAAGAGCUUCCAUUUACAUUUAUCUUCUAUCACAGUUUAAUUUGUUUCUCUUUUUGGGUAUGUUGUAUAAUGUGCAUGAUAUGCAAAUAUAGUAAUACAUGGCUACUUUAUGAA
This 1492-nucleotide long non-coding RNA is filed under the name Homo sapiens (human). Its description in RNAcentral is "HSALNT0310499". The record is from RNAcentral. Lineage: Eukaryota; Metazoa; Chordata; Mammalia; Primates; Hominidae.